GUUGAACUAUAGCUCGAGAUUUUAAACAAUCGAGGAAGAAGAACAACCGUUGGCGGGAGAAACAAACUGAAAUCAGCGAAGCAAACUUUAUUUCGACGUCUUUAUGAUAAAACAGCACAAAAUGACGGAACAGUCGGCAGAAAUCCUUAUUUUGAAGAUGAGUUUAGGUGUGUUUAUAACAGCCUUACAAAUAUCACCUCUAAUUACAACACUAUCUGAAGUGCUAACAGCGCCACCCGCUGUCUCACAGGCUAACAGCUAAGCUAAUCCGAACCGUCCGGCUCCUGAAGGACCGAAACCGAUCCAGGAGGACCUGAACAAUCACAGCUGUGUCCGGUCUGCUCACUGUGCUGCUGUUUAGAGCCACGAAAAUGGAUUAACGUCUGAUUUAAGGUAAGAAAUGAGAUAAAGUGUAGCUGAUGUACCGGCGUUAGUUUUACUGGACUGUCAUACCAUAGCACAGUAGGGAAGAGUGAUGAUCCAUGUUUCAUAUUUCGGAUCACAUCAUCAAGUCAAUCCUAGUUUUGUCUCUAACUCGUGUCUCUGCAGAUAUUUCAGGAUGUUGUUAAUCCCUGCAAACCAACAGAAUGAGUGUAAACAGAACUGUCAUCUUCAGAAUAUAGCAGGACAAAUAAAGGGGUCUCCUGUGGUCAACUUACCCCGUGUAUGGGGGGGUAAGUUGACCAUAGGAGCGGGGUAAAUUGAGCCGUAUCCCUCCAGCUAAAAAAGCUGUUUUAUACAAAAAAAAACAUUUGAAGAUGAGAAUGUCUCUAAGUGAUUGAGAACAUUCACAGAUCUAUAUUUUAGAAAAGAAAAAGUCAAACAUUUCAACAAUCUGAAGGUAAACUCUGAUCAUCAGACUCCUUCACUUUCUCUGUUCCCCCUGAACUACUAUGAUGACUUUAUUAGUCCUCCAGGAUAAAAUGGUGGACUUUUAGAUUUUUUACCUCAUGUUGGAGCUCAUAGUUACCACAGUUGAUGUAGAAAACUCAUUUAAAAUGAUCUUUUUUUGUUUGUUUCACUUCGAAAAUGUUCGGCCAUUUGAAAAUUUCCCCGACUUAUCCUGUAGAUGGCGCUACAGCGACUUCAUGCCAUUCUUCAUCCCCUAACUACCUCACAGCACAGCAGAGUGACGGAUCUGAAGCAGCAGCUCAGGGACACGGAGGAGAGUGGUCCGCCUCAACGGGAAAUAAACCAGUUUGUGAAAAACACAAUAAGUCAACAAGUUUCAGUUCAAUCCACUUCACCAUGUUCGCCGCUGUGCUGGUCUCAGUCACUCCGAGUUAACGGUGAAGCACCGUGUAAUAUGCAAACCCGCUUUUCUGGUUCGAGUUUGAUUCAUGAUAAAUACGUGGACUAUUACUGAUGAUGAUCAGUCAGUCUUCCUGUCGAGUGUUCCUCAUUCUUUAUGAUGUAUGUGAGUUAGCUUUAUUUAUAAUAAGCGGAAAAGAAUUAGUUUAUCAUCUUUAUUACAGUUAAAAUAAAUAGCCAGGGUUGUAGUGUAAGUCAUAUUAUGUAAACACAACUAAGAAAAAUGCUUCAUGUAGGCCAUGAGUUUGAAAAUGGCCCAUAUACAGCUAGACAGAUUCUUUUAAAUAAUGCAUAUUUAAUGCAUACUUGCUGUUCUCUCACUUUUGUUGUUGUUGUUGUUUUUACAGAUGUCAAAAGAAAGCGAGCGUAGUAAGGUGUGGGACCACUUCACCUUGAACAAAAGAGUUGGAAGUUAACUGUUUGCACUUUACACAAAAUACCUCAUUCUUUUUUCAGUUGUUUUAGCAAUAAAACAGG
This 1788-nucleotide long non-coding RNA is filed under the name Xyrichtys novacula (pearly razorfish). The record is from RNAcentral. Lineage: Eukaryota; Metazoa; Chordata; Actinopteri; Labriformes; Labridae.